UAGCAACUUCAGGGCAGGGUGUAAUUCCUGACCGGCGGUAAUGACGCAGCUGCGUCCGAGCCCGCGACUCGCUGAACCGCACAAGGAAAAGCGACUGAUCUGGUGAGAAUCCAGAGCCGACGGUACAGUCCGGAUGGGAGAAGAUGCAA
This 149-nucleotide non-coding RNA is filed under the name Brevibacillus choshinensis. RNAcentral describes it as "FMN sequence". It matches the Rfam family "FMN riboswitch aptamer (RFN element)". From Rfam's summary of the family: The RFN element is a highly conserved domain that is found frequently in the 5'-untranslated regions of prokaryotic mRNAs that encode for flavin mononucleotide (FMN) biosynthesis and transport proteins. The record is from RNAcentral. Lineage: Bacteria; Bacillati; Bacillota; Bacilli; Caryophanales; Paenibacillaceae.